AUACGUAGGGUGCAAGCGUUGUCCGGAAUUAUUGGGCGUAAAGAGCUCGUAGGCGGCUUGUCGCGUCUGCUGUGAAAUCCCGAGGCUCAACCUCGGGCUUGCAGUGGGUACGGGCAGGCUAGAGUGCGGUAGGGGAGAUUGGAAUUCCUGGUGUAGCGGUGGAAUGCGCAGAUAUCAGGAGGGACACCGAUGGCGAAGGCAGAUCUCUGGGCCGCUACUGACGCUGAGGAGCGAAAGCAUGGGGAGCGAACAGGAUGAGAUACCCUGGUAGUCCAUGCCGUAAACGUUGGGAACUAGAUGUAGGGCCUGUUCCACGGGUUCUGUGUCGUAGCUAACGCAUUAAGUUCCCCGCCUGGGGAGUACGGCCGCAAGGCUAAA
RNAcentral lists this ribosomal RNA (378 nucleotides) under uncultured bacterium. Its description in RNAcentral is "bacterial SSU rRNA". It matches the Rfam family "Bacterial small subunit ribosomal RNA", at positions 523 to 898 of the family's 1533-position model. The record is from RNAcentral.